This 293-nucleotide long non-coding RNA is filed under the name Pan troglodytes (chimpanzee). Its description in RNAcentral is "long non-coding RNA NONPTRT007772". Lineage: Eukaryota; Metazoa; Chordata; Mammalia; Primates; Hominidae. The record is from RNAcentral.
AUCCUUCACCUCUUGGCCUUACACGACUGGAGAUAACUAAAGGAGUGCUUUUUAUGCCACCGUGAGUCAUAUUUCCUAUUCUUUGCAGCAGAAGACAUCUUCCCUUAAUACAGUGACUCAUUUACACAGCUUCAAAAUUAGCAAGUGCUGACUCCAACUCCUUCACAUCAGCUUGGUGGAUGCAGCUGGUAUGAGUGACCAUCCACUGACAAGAAUCGCAGUGGAAACCCACAGCUUUCACUUCUGUCCAUCAGGACUGUCUCACCAGAGGAAGCAUAGGCUCAGCAUGAGAC